Molecule: long non-coding RNA, 2214 nt
Filed under: Brassica napus (rape)
Lineage: Eukaryota; Viridiplantae; Streptophyta; Magnoliopsida; Brassicales; Brassicaceae
Description: long non-coding RNA (BNAP_LNC025641)
Source: RNAcentral
UCCCAGAGAAUCCAAUCGCGCACUCAUUCAUGAGAUGGUCAUACUGAUAGAAAGGAUUAUAUCCCACCAGUGACGCUAUAAGAAGAUGCAAUACGGCAUUGGUCGUCGCCAGCAAUAUUGUGAGGUAAAACAAGCGGACGGAUCCCAUGAUUCUCUCCAGCUCGGAUCCCAUAGGAACCAAGGCCAUCAUGUUGAACAUAACAUGAAGCAUCGAUCCAUGGAAUAGAAUGGCCGUGUAAAACCUAUAAACUGCACAACAGGUAACAAGAAAAACAAGCAGGAGUUUACAAGACAAAUACAUCAACAGCAAGAUGUAAAAUCUUUAGUGACAAAAAGAAAAUCAACAAACUUGAUAAUGUGUUUCAAGAAGAUAAGACUUAACAGUAUGAGAAUAUACCUUGGAAACGCGAUAGAAUUGCAGAGGGCAAGAAGCAGACUUCGUAGAAAGUAUCGUAUCCAGUUAAGAGGCUUAUGAGGUAAAUGAUUCCACAAACUACAACCACUGAAGAGGUGAGGAAAGGUAUUGCAUUCCACCAUUGUGAAACUCUGGUUUGAACCCCAGCCUAGAAGAAAAUAAGAAUCCACAACAAAUCACAAACGAGUACUAUAUAAGACCCAUACUAGGUGAUAGCUUAUAACUAAACCUUUGUCCGAAUCUCUACCUGGCUAGAGAUAGAAACCUAUCUAUUAGACCCCUUUAAUCAAUUUCAGAUAUCUUUCAAUAUUCUGAUUGGUCCCGUUAAUAGUAUAAUACCCAGAACACAAAGAACUACUGAAACGGAGGUUGCUCUACUUAUAAACCCCUACUACAUCAAAAGAUUCGAAAUACCUUGCGGCGGGGAUUGGCUCUGCUAUGCCAAUCGCGGUUGCAUCAGAAAGGCGGUCAGGAGUGCUAUCUUCCAAGAGUCUAGCAUGGAGGUUUGGGUCUGUUUCUCCAGCUGGAGGGGUGGGAUCACGGGCAGUACCGCUAAGAGUUCUACCUCUUCCCGGAAAUCUACUGUCCUCAGACGACUAAAUGUGAAGUAGUAUGGUUAGAUCAUACAUCCACCAAGUCAAAAGGAAUUAGCAGACAAGGUUAGCAUGAUUGUACCUGAUUAGAUGCUUCCCUCUGUGGCAGCCAUGAAGACAAGGAUCUCCAAGCGUUUCCCGUAGAGAAACCACUGUCCAAAGAACACUGUCAUUACAAUGUUUCCUAGGCAAGUAGUUCAGUUUUUUCGUAUGUAGUUAGAGGUUCGCACCUGGAUGUUGUGUUUUGUACAGAAUAAGUGGGCAUGUAGCUGGAAGGAUUUCCACCAGUGCACAUAAUGAAUUUGGGUCGCCUUACACAGCUAGCCUGGAAAGGGACAUAGAAUCCGAAUGAGCAACGAUUAAUUCAAAGAGAGACAUGUUUUGCUGCAGGUUCACGAAGCCUGAUGUUCGAAAAUACUUACCAUCCAGGAGGCUGACUCAAUGGUGGAGAAGAAUGAAGACCCGGGCAUCAAGAAAUUGAAAAGGCCAUAAGAAUCUGACACCCAAAGUGGCUAACAAAUUAGCUACCAUGAAACUUCAGGUUUAGAAAGUCGAAAGGUAAAGAAAAAGGUAAAAUAUCAUACAUGCAAAUCCAGACAGGAUGCCACAUAGGUGACCAAGCAAUGAAACAUUUGUCAUGAGAAGCUGGAAUGCAAUCAACAAGAGCCAUGGAUAUCUGCAAAUGGAUACAAAUUUUACACCAUAUGUGCAACAAAGAAAGCAAGUGAACAUUAACAACCCGACAAGAAAGACAAUAAGCUUACAGUUUCGCGGGCACGUUGAAGAGACCAAACACACUGCACAGAAAAAAGAAAAAAAAAUAUAUAUAUAUAUAUGAGAAGCGUCAUGAAUACAAAGGAUGUGCCAAAAAAUUAUUAAAAUAGCUAUAAAAAAGUCUUUACCUCCUAGAGGUGACUCCACUGAGACUCGUCUCUAUGACAAUCAUGGAAAACAAGAUCCCAGAGAAUCCAAUCGCGCACUCAUUCAUGAGAUGGUCAUACUGAUAGAAAGGAUUAUAUCCCACCAGUGACGCUAUAAGAAGAUGCAAUACGGCAUUGGUCGUCGCCAGCAAUAUUGUGAGGUAAAACAAGCGGACGGAUCCCAUGAUUCUCUCCAGCUCGGAUCCCAUAGGAACCAAGGCCAUCAUGUUGAACAUAACAUGAAGCAUCGAUCCAUGGAAUAGAAUGGCCGUGUAAAACCUAUAAA